Molecule: ribosomal RNA, 426 nt
Filed under: Triticum aestivum (bread wheat)
Lineage: Eukaryota; Viridiplantae; Streptophyta; Magnoliopsida; Poales; Poaceae
Description: partial small subunit ribosomal RNA
Source: RNAcentral
AUGUGUGACCAUUGGGAACGGUUUAUCCACUUUCUUCUGGUUAGAUCAUUGGGUCUCCCAGAACCUUUGUGCAUUGCUUUCCCGGCGUUGUUUUCACACCAUACAAAGCCAAAUGCAUUCGUAGCCACUAUAUCGAUGGAUGGGAUUGAUCUGGGCUUGCGUAGCUGGCUAACCUUAACUGCUUCCAAUGAACUUGCUUCCUUGAGAUUACUGUUGCAAGAUGUCAGUCUGUUGAGUGCCCCCAACGCUAGGACCCUACUUAAUGGCGCCGCCUUCACCACCAAGGGCGCCUACGACGCGAUGGCUUCUCAACUGGCUGACCCUACUCUUGCUCGUAUCUGGGACUCGUGUGUCCCCAGCAGAGUGAGGGUGUUCGGCUGGCUUUUCUACCUCGACCGGCUCAACACACGGGCAAACUUGCACUGA